CAGUCGCCGCGGUAAUACAGAGGGUGCGAGCGUUAAUCGGAUUUACUGGGCGUAAAGCGUGCGUAGGCGGCUUCUUAAGUCGGAUGUGAAAUCCCUGAGCUUAACUUAGGAAUUGCAUUCGAUACUGGGAAGCUAGAGUAUGGGAGAGGAUGGUAGAAUUCCAGGUGUAGCGGUGAAAUGCGUAGAGAUCUGGAGGAAUACCGAUGGCGAAGGCAGCCAUCUGGCCUAAUACUGACGCUGAGGUACGAAAGCAUGGGGAGCAAACAGGAUUAGAUACCCCCGUAGUCACUGUCUCUUAUAC
Molecule: ribosomal RNA, 301 nt
Filed under: uncultured bacterium
Lineage: Bacteria
Description: partial 16S ribosomal RNA
Rfam family: Bacterial small subunit ribosomal RNA
Source: RNAcentral